CAGAGUGAGCUUGUAGUCCCUCCAGAGUCUGGUACCUGAUGACCGGCUGCAGAAUGGACUCCAGGAGGAUUUGUGAAACACAGAUUUGUUUCUGCCUCGUCAUUCCUAUUAUCCAGCUGGCAGCUGAGAGUGGUCGGAGUGACGGCUCCGCCUACUUUGACAGAGCCAGGCAGAGGUCCUUCUCCUCCUGCUGCUCCUUCAGCAGGUUGGCCAGAUGUGCAUGUUACUCCUGGAGAUGCUGCUGCUCCUCCAUCACGAUGGCUUCAGCUGAGGUU
Xiphophorus maculatus (southern platyfish) is the source of this 275-nucleotide long non-coding RNA. RefSeq lists it as uncharacterized. The record is from RefSeq and is a predicted model, not a curated record. Lineage: Eukaryota; Metazoa; Chordata; Actinopteri; Cyprinodontiformes; Poeciliidae. The transcript is spliced from 3 exons.